RNAcentral lists this ribosomal RNA (512 nucleotides) under uncultured bacterium. RNAcentral describes it as "partial 16S ribosomal RNA". It matches the Rfam family "Bacterial small subunit ribosomal RNA", at positions 28 to 507 of the family's 1533-position model. The record is from RNAcentral.
GAUGAACGCUGGCGGCGUGCCUAAUACAUGCAAGUCGAACGAAACUUCUUUAUCACCGAGUGCUUGCACUUACCGAUAAACAGUUGAGUGGCGAACGGGUGAGUAACACGUGGGCAACCUGCCCAAAAGUGGGGGAUAACACUUGGAAACAGGUUCUAAUACCCCAUAACCAUAAUUACCGCAUGGUACCUUUGUCAAAGGUGGCUAUAGUACCGCUUUUGGAUGGGCCCGCGGCGCAUUAGCUAGUUGGUCGGGUAAAGGCUUACCAAGGCAAUGAUGCGUAGCCGAACUGAGAGGUUGAUCGGCCACAUUGGGACUGAGACACGGCCCAAACUCCUACGGGAGGCAGCAGUAGGGAAUCUUCCACAAUGGGCGAAAGCCUGAUGGAGCAACGCCGCGUGGGUGAAGAAGGUCUUCGGAUCGUAAAACCCUGUUGUUAGGGAAGAAAGGGCGUGAGAGUAACUGUUCACGUUUCGACGGUACCUAACCAGAAAGCCACGGCUAACUACGUG